CGGUACCUCCAAUAGAUGGCAAAGCUGAAAAUUGGGAAAGACAACUUGGAAAAUAAAGAAGUCAUCACUUCAACACAGAAAACAGGAAUUUCUAUUUACUGCCCGGCAUGGGAGUCAUCCUCUGUCAGCAAUGCCACAGACAAAGGGCCUGAUCCUGGACUGUGGCAGCCAAAGGAGGGUCUCUCCAGAGCAGGAAAGGGCUCUGGCUGACAUUCCAUGCAAGAUGCAGCCAUUCCCCUCCCUGACUGGGGGAACCACAGCUGGCAGAUGCAGGAUCUCCUCCUGCACACCUCACCUUGGACAACAGCAGCUCCUGCACCGUGGUGUUCCCCAGGUCCAGAGGGGUGGUGAGCCUCAGGGACAGAAACAGGUGCUGGCAGCGAGGCAGCGGCUUCCACCCGGCACGAACACUCCCAGGGACUGCUGCAGUGCCCAGCAAACAUCAACUGCACGGCUGGACCCAGAACAGCCACAAAAAGUGGGCAGGACAGGCCACCAAGGCCACC
This is a long non-coding RNA of Melospiza melodia melodia, 506 nucleotides long. RefSeq lists it as uncharacterized. The transcript has 3 exons. The record is from RefSeq and is a predicted model, not a curated record. NCBI's taxonomy places the organism in Eukaryota, Metazoa, Chordata, Aves, Passeriformes, Passerellidae.